GACGAACGCUGGCGGCGUGCCUAAUACAUGCAAGUCGAACGCUUCUUUUUCACCGAACUUCGGUUCAUCGAAAAAGGGGAGUGGCGAACGGGUGAGUAACACGUGGGUAACCUGCCCAUCAGAAGGGGAUAACACUUGGAAACAGGUGCUAAUACCGUAUAAUGCUUUUUCUCGCAUGAGAGCAAGCUGAAAGGCGCUUUUGCGUCACUGAUGGAUGGACCCGCGGUGCAUUAGCUAGUUGGUGAGGUAACGGCUCACCAAGGCCACGAUGCAUAGCCGACCUGAGAGGGUGAUCGGCCACACUGGGACUGAGACACGGCCCAGACUCCUACGGGAGGCAGCAGUAGGGAAUCUUCGGCAAUGGACGAAAGUCUGACCGAGCAACGCCGCGUGAGUGAAGAAGGUUUUCGGAUCGUAAAACUCUGUUGUUAGAGAAGAACAAGGAUGAGAGUAAAAUGUUCAUCCCUUGAC
RNAcentral lists this ribosomal RNA (471 nucleotides) under Enterococcus sp. oral taxon A43. Its description in RNAcentral is "bacterial SSU rRNA". It matches the Rfam family "Bacterial small subunit ribosomal RNA", at positions 28 to 473 of the family's 1533-position model. The record is from RNAcentral. Lineage: Bacteria; Bacillati; Bacillota; Bacilli; Lactobacillales; Enterococcaceae.